RNAcentral lists this ribosomal RNA (537 nucleotides) under Vibrio scophthalmi. Its description in RNAcentral is "bacterial SSU rRNA". It matches the Rfam family "Bacterial small subunit ribosomal RNA", at positions 65 to 606 of the family's 1533-position model. Lineage: Bacteria; Pseudomonadati; Pseudomonadota; Gammaproteobacteria; Vibrionales; Vibrionaceae. The record is from RNAcentral.
AGCUUGCUUUUGAAGAUGACGAGCGGCGGACGGGUGAGUAAUGCCUGGGAAUAUGCCUUGAUGUGGGGGAUAACCAUUGGAAACGAUGGCUAAUACCGCAUAAUGCCUACGGGCCAAAGAGGGGGAUCUUCGGACCUCUCGCGUCAAGAUUAGCCCAGGUGGGAUUAGCUAGUUGGUGAGGUAAUGGCUCACCAAGGCGACGAUCCCUAGCUGGUCUGAGAGGAUGAUCAGCCACACUGGAACUGAGACACGGUCCAGACUCCUACGGGAGGCAGCAGUGGGGAAUAUUGCACAAUGGGCGCAAGCCUGAUGCAGCCAUGCCGCGUGUGUGAAGAAGGCCUUCGGGUUGUAAAGCACUUUCAGUCGUGAGGAAGGUAGUUGCGUUAAUAGCGUAUUGAUUUGACGUUAGCGACAGAAGAAGCACCGGCUAACUCCGUGCCAGCAGCCGCGGUAAUACGGAGGGUGCGAGCGUUAAUCGGAAUUACUGGGCGUAAAGCGCAUGCAGGUGGUUUGUUAAGUCAGAUGUGAAAGCCCGGG